AAUCAACGCUGGCGGCGCGCUUAACACAUGCAAGUCGAACGAGAAAGGGAGCAAUCCUGAGUAAAGUGGCGCACGGGUGAGUAACACGUGGGUAAUCUGCCCUCUGGUGGGGAAUAACUCUGGGAAACCGGAGCUAAUACCGCAUAAGACCGGAAGGUGAAAGGGCGAAAGUUCGCCGGAGGAGGAGCCCGCGGCUGAUUAGCUUGUUGGUGAGGUAAAAGCUCACCAAGGCUGAGACGGUAGCCGGCCUGAGAGGGCACACGGCCACACUGGCACUGAAACACGGGCCAGACUCCUACGGGAGGCAGCAGGUGGGGAAUCUUGCACAAUGGGGGCAACCCUGAAUGCAGCGACGCCGCGUGAGUGAU
This 368-nucleotide ribosomal RNA is filed under the name uncultured bacterium. RNAcentral's name for it is "bacterial SSU rRNA". It matches the Rfam family "Bacterial small subunit ribosomal RNA", at positions 29 to 409 of the family's 1533-position model. The record is from RNAcentral.